This 209-nucleotide ribosomal RNA is filed under the name uncultured bacterium. RNAcentral's name for it is "partial 16S ribosomal RNA". It matches the Rfam family "Bacterial small subunit ribosomal RNA", at positions 568 to 775 of the family's 1533-position model. The record is from RNAcentral.
CACGUAGGCAGUCUUUGUAGUUGAACGGUGAAAGCCCAAAGCUUGACUUUGGAAGAACUCUCAAUACCUAAAGACUAGAGUCUGAAAGAGGAGGGUAGAAUUUCUCAUGGAAGGGUAAAAUCUUUAGAUAUGAGAAGGAAUACCGAAAGCGAAGGCAGCCCUCUGGUUCAGUACUGACGCUGAGGUGUGAAGGCAUGGGGAGCAACCGG